This is a long non-coding RNA of Corticium candelabrum, 503 nucleotides long. RefSeq lists it as uncharacterized. NCBI's taxonomy places the organism in Eukaryota, Metazoa, Porifera, Homoscleromorpha, Homosclerophorida, Plakinidae. The transcript has 3 exons. The record is from RefSeq and is a predicted model, not a curated record.
UUCAUUUAAGCUGGACCAUCUUAUUCCAUUCACUUCUUAUGAAAUCAAAGUAAAUGUGACUUACGACCAAUCUUACUGCAGUUCAUAUUCUGAUGUAGUUGUUGGUAGGACAGAUCCAGUAGCACCAUCUCCUCCAAGACAGAUCAGACUUCUCUCUGUACUGGCAACUAGCAUUGUGCUGACAUGGAAGGUACCUUCUUAUGUCAAUGGAUCUAACCUCACAUAUUAUAUCAAUUAUUUCAAACUCGAUAGUAGUACUAUUGUAACUUCAGAGACCAGCACACAACCAACUACUACUUUGGUUGAUCUUACACCCUAUACUAAAUAUAAAGUCAUAAUUCAAGCUGCUACAUAUGCCCAAAUCAAUGUCAGCUCUUCAAUUCGGCUGAGAAGUAACAAAGCUGAAAUAUCAUUUCAAACUCGUCAAGCAAAACCAAAUCCUCCAACUAAUGUGCAAGUUGACACAGUGUCUGCUGACUCGGUUGUGAUCAAGUGGCAGCGUC